Long non-coding RNA from Colossoma macropomum (tambaqui), 541 nucleotides. RefSeq lists it as uncharacterized. NCBI's taxonomy places the organism in Eukaryota, Metazoa, Chordata, Actinopteri, Characiformes, Serrasalmidae. The record is from RefSeq and is a predicted model, not a curated record. The transcript has 4 exons.
UCAGGCGGUAAAGAGACUGAAGAUAAGAAGAGAAUUGACUGUUUAGAGAAUGUGCUGUUCUGUUUGAAGGAAUGAUACAGCUUUGAUGUAGCUAUAGCUGGAGACUGAACUGUGAAACCACUUACAUCUGUGAGUGCAGUGGUCGCGAAUCGGAGCCAGGCUGUUGCGCGUCAGGGCUGAUUCUCGUGUUCUCAGUGGUACAAGGUGAGCAUUUGCAGCUGUUGAAAAAGGGUGUGUGGUUGGAGCAAAGAACGUCUAUCGGACUUGUUGUUUCACGCAACAGUUUAUCCAACAAUCUUUCAGAUGGAGGUCAUGCUCACUCUUGCUUUUCUGCGAUCUGUGGGCCAGAUGACUGACCAUCUGCCCUGAGACAGUUCUGUGUGCCGCAGUAUGUGAGUUGGCUAACAGAGAGUUUCCCAGCGUGAUCGGUGGAAGACUCUGCGUGCGUAUGGGCGGCAGGCUCUUGUAGUCCUUGGCUGGAGGGUCCUCAAGCAGAUGGAGCUUUUCGGGCUCGUUGAGGUGCUUUCUGCUCUCCUCCUUG